This 442-nucleotide ribosomal RNA is filed under the name Kempella stridulans. Its description in RNAcentral is "partial 16S ribosomal RNA". It matches the Rfam family "Bacterial large subunit ribosomal RNA", at positions 1923 to 2566 of the family's 2925-position model. Lineage: Eukaryota; Metazoa; Arthropoda; Malacostraca; Stomatopoda; Squillidae. The record is from RNAcentral.
UUAAAGGGCCGCGGUAUUCUGACCGUGCGAAGGUAGCAUAAUAAUUAGUCUCCUAAUUAGAGGCUUGUAUGAAUGGUCGGACAAGAUGGAAACUGUCUCUAUACAAAAAAUAAAAUUUAAUAUUUAAGUAAAAAAGCUUAAAUGUUAUGGAGGGACGAUAAGACCCUAUAAAGCUUUAUAAUACCUUUCUUUUUUAUAAAAUUUUUUGUUGUUAACAUAUUUUAGAAUUUGUAUUAUUUUACUGGGGCGGUAAAAGUAUAAUAAAUAACUGCUUUUAUUUUGUGUAACAAUUUUAGUUGAUGAUAAAUUGAUCCAUUAUUAAUGAUUAUAAGAACAAGUUACUUUAGGGAUAACAGCGUAAUUUUUUUUGAGAGUUCUUAUCGAAAAAAGAGUUUGCGACCUCGAUGUUGAAUUAAGGUUGCCUUAAGGUGCAGCAGUUUUA